CGCCGCGUGAGGUGACGAAGGCCUUCGGGUUGUAAACCUCUUUUAGUAGGGAAGAAGCGAAAGUGACGGUACCUGCAGAAAAAGCACCGGCUAACUACGUGCCAGCAGCCGCGGUAAUACGUAGGGUGCAAGCGUUGUCCGGAAUUAUUGGGCGUAAAGAGCUCGUAGGCGGUUUGUCGCGUCUGCUGUGAAAACUGGAGGCUCAACCUCCAGCCUGCAGUGGGUACGGGCAGACUAGAGUGCGGUAGGGGAGAUUGGAAUUCCUGGUGUAGCGGUGGAAUGCGCAGAUAUCAGGAGGAACACCGAUGGCGAAGGCAGAUCUCUGGGCCGUAACUGACGCUGAGGAGCGAAAGCAUGGGGAGCGAACAGGAUUAGAUACCCUGGUAGUCCAUGCCGUAAACGUUGGGAACUAGAUGUAGGGGCCAUUCCACGGUUUCUGUGUCGCAGCUAACGCAUUAAGUUCCCCGCCUGGGGAGUACGGCCGCAAGGCUAAAACUCAAAGGAAUUGACGGGGGCCCGCACAAGCGGCGGAGCAUGCGGAUUAAUUCGAUGCAACGCGAAGAACCUUACCAAGGCUUGACAUAUACCGGAAACGGCUAGAGAUAGUCGCCCCGCA
This 616-nucleotide ribosomal RNA is filed under the name Microbacteriaceae bacterium So1Ps_777. RNAcentral describes it as "bacterial SSU rRNA". It matches the Rfam family "Bacterial small subunit ribosomal RNA", at positions 395 to 1019 of the family's 1533-position model. The record is from RNAcentral. Lineage: Bacteria; Bacillati; Actinomycetota; Actinomycetes; Micrococcales; Microbacteriaceae.